This 466-nucleotide ribosomal RNA is filed under the name Klebsiella pneumoniae. RNAcentral describes it as "bacterial SSU rRNA". It matches the Rfam family "Bacterial small subunit ribosomal RNA", at positions 131 to 592 of the family's 1533-position model. Lineage: Bacteria; Pseudomonadati; Pseudomonadota; Gammaproteobacteria; Enterobacterales; Enterobacteriaceae. The record is from RNAcentral.
UGAUGGAGGGGGAUAACUACUGGAAACGGUAGCUAAUACCGCAUAACGUCGCAAGACCAAAGUGGGGGACCUUCGGGCCUCAUGCCAUCAGAUGUGCCCAGAUGGGAUUAGCUAGUAGGUGGGGUAACGGCUCACCUAGGCGACGAUCCCUAGCUGGUCUGAGAGGAUGACCAGCCACACUGGAACUGAGACACGGUCCAGACUCCUACGGGAGGCAGCAGUGGGGAAUAUUGCACAAUGGGCGCAAGCCUGAUGCAGCCAUGCCGCGUGUGUGAAGAAGGCCUUCGGGUUGUAAAGCACUUUCAGCGGGGAGGAAGGCGUUAAGGUUAAUAACCUUGGCGAUUGACGUUACCCGCAGAAGAAGCACCGGCUAACUCCGUGCCAGCAGCCGCGGUAAUACGGAGGGUGCAAGCGUUAAUCGGAAUUACUGGGCGUAAAGCGCACGCAGGCGGUCUGUCAAGUCGGA